RNAcentral lists this long non-coding RNA (1403 nucleotides) under Salmo salar (Atlantic salmon). Its description in RNAcentral is "lncRNA (ENSSSAG00000097238.1, ENSSSAG00000106376.1)". Lineage: Eukaryota; Metazoa; Chordata; Actinopteri; Salmoniformes; Salmonidae. The record is from RNAcentral.
AGUAAAGUCUGAGACUCAGCAGAUGAAAGGCAUUGUGGGACAGUCUUUAUCGUUUCCAGAGAGAGUGUUUAAAACUGGAUAUUUAAGGUAUGGAGAAGACACUACUGCAAGUGUGAUCAAUGGACAAAGCCAUGUAGAUUUAGAAGAGAGAUUUAAAAAUCGCGUUCACUGGGACAAACCUCACUCUUUACUAUGUUGUUUCCAAACCUCAGGUGACAGAGUGUGACAGCAGCUCCUGUAGUGUGGUGUGUUCUGUGGACAACAAAAAAGAGGUGACCUUGACCUUGUACAGGGGAGAGGAAAUACUAAACCAGACCAGCAGUCCUGACCUCACCACUGAUCUAUCUCUCCGUUUGGAGGUAGAGGGAAAGAACUACAACUCCACCUACAGCUGUGUGGCUGCUAACCCUGUCAGCAAGGAGACAGUUCUUGUCCCAAAAUGUUGCAGUGAAGAUGGUCAUCCCAAGGAGACAGACAGUGAUGGGAUGACUCGGGGUAUGCUUAUUAUUGCUGUAAUCUGCGUUUUGGUUGCCUCAGGGCUGGUUGGACUUGCAAUCAAUCUAAAGCAGAGGGGAAAUGAACACUCACAAGAUUCAUCCGAAAGAGUGCAAGUUGACAUUGAGUAUGCAACGAUUACUUACAUAAAACAAACAGGUAACCAGGAGGAGCGAAGAAGUAUACCAGAACUGGAGUCGCAUAGAGACAACCCUGAAAUGGCAUCAGUUUAUGAUACACUGCAGUUACAUCGCAUGGCUGACAGCAGGGAUGUUGACACAGCAUGAAGGAACAGAACUGGAAGUCACUGAGAAGCCAACAUGAUAACUCAUAAAGAGGACAUUUAACCAAAAUGAAAGUAAAAUAAUAAUCACCCAGAAAACCUUUUAGAGGCACAGUUGUUAUGGGAGAAAAAUCCCCUGGAACUGUUGCGCUGAUGUUAUAACUUCAGGCUUUCUUUGUAGGUCAUUCUCACAGACCUGUCAAAUAGAGGCCUCGCUGACAUCCACUGAUAAGGACCAAUUCAAUAACUAUUUAUUGAGUUAGUAGCAGGGUCAGGAUAAUCCUUCUUUUCAGCUGCCUUUUGUCCCAAAUCCCAAUGUAUAAGUUAAAACAAAUGGAACAUAUAUUUUAAUACUGGGCACAACUUUGGUUUUGGAAGUGGGAGGACAUAACUUUUUAUCCUGUCGGAUAAACACUCCAAACAACCUACCCGCCCACUCGGAGGCGUCCGUAUGGUCCUAAAGCACACCAUUGCCUCGUUUUGUAUCACAUUCCAAUGAUAAAACUGGGGGGACAAAAAUGAUAUUUCAGAAUGUGGGGGGGACAUGUGGCACCCUUGGUGUUUGCUAUGCUACUGCUGGCCAAAGCUUCUUUUCAGUUAUGACUGUUUUGUUGUUUAAAUGUAG